This 226-nucleotide ribosomal RNA is filed under the name uncultured bacterium. RNAcentral's name for it is "partial 16S ribosomal RNA". It matches the Rfam family "Bacterial small subunit ribosomal RNA", at positions 538 to 762 of the family's 1533-position model. The record is from RNAcentral.
GCGUUGUCCGGAUUUAUUGGGCGUAAAGAGCGCGUAGGCGGCUCGGUAAGCCGGAUGUGAAACCUCCAAGCUCAACUUGGAGCGGCCAUUCGGAACUGCUGUGGCUAGAGUCUGGUAGGGGAACACGGAAUUCCUGGUGUAGCGGUGAAAUGCUUAGAUAUCAGGAGGAACACCAGUGGCGAAGGCGGUGUUCUGGGCCAGUACUGACGCUGAGGCGCGAAAGCGU